This is a transfer RNA of Ichthyophthirius multifiliis, 72 nucleotides long. It matches the Rfam family "tRNA". Rfam says of the family: Transfer RNA (tRNA) molecules are approximately 80 nucleotides in length. NCBI's taxonomy places the organism in Eukaryota, Ciliophora, Oligohymenophorea, Hymenostomatida. The record is from Rfam.
AUCCUCGUAGCUCAAUGGUAGAGCAGUGGCCUCCUAAGCCAAAGGUUGUGAGUUCGAGUCUCGUCGGGGAUG